Molecule: long non-coding RNA, 225 nt
Organism: Sardina pilchardus (European sardine)
Lineage: Eukaryota; Metazoa; Chordata; Actinopteri; Clupeiformes; Clupeidae
Exons: 3
Source: RefSeq, a predicted model, not a curated record
GAGCUAGUGGUGGGAGCAGAGGAAAAGAUAAAGAACUGCCUAAAUGUAGUGGAGAUGGGGGAAGAAAGAAAAGAGCAGAAAAAGAAAAGUUGAUGCCAUUGCCGCCCCCUUCUCCAGACUUCAGCAGUUGUGAAAGUGAAUGAGAAUACAACAACUCUUUUGAAGACAACAGCACCCCAACACAACUGCAUUAAGUUGCAAUACAGAAGUUGGAACUGAUCAUUU